Molecule: ribosomal RNA, 469 nt
Filed under: uncultured bacterium
Lineage: Bacteria
Description: partial 16S ribosomal RNA
Rfam family: Bacterial small subunit ribosomal RNA
Source: RNAcentral
GACGAACGCUGGCGGCGUGCUUAACACAUGCAAGUCGAACGGUGAACGAGGGAGCUUGCUCCAUCCGGAUCAGUGGCGAACGGGUGAGUAACACGUGAGCAAUCUGCCCCGAACUCUGGGAUAAGCGUUGGAAACGACGUCUAAUACCGGAUACGACGCGGGAGGGCAUCCUCUCCGCGUGGAAAGAACUUCGGUUCGGGAUGAGCUCGCGGCCUAUCAGCUUGUUGGUGAGGUAACGGCUCACCAAGGCGACGACGGGUAGCCGGCCUGAGAGGGUGACCGGCCACACUGGGACUGAGACACGGCCCAGACUCCUACGGGAGGCAGCAGUGGGGAAUAUUGCACAAUGGGCGCAAGCCUGAUGCAGCAACGCCGCGUGAGGGACGACGGCCUUCGGGUUGUAAACCUCUUUUAGCAGGGAAGAAGCGAAAGUGACGGUACCUGCAGAAAAAGCACCGGCUAACUACGU